This 468-nucleotide ribosomal RNA is filed under the name uncultured bacterium. RNAcentral's name for it is "partial 16S ribosomal RNA". It matches the Rfam family "Bacterial small subunit ribosomal RNA", at positions 28 to 507 of the family's 1533-position model. The record is from RNAcentral.
GACGAACGCUGGCGGCGUGCUUAACACAUGCAAGUCGAACGGAAAGGCCCUGCUUUUGUGGGGUGCUCGAGUGGCGAACGGGUGAGUAACACGUGAGUAACCUGCCCUUGACUUCGGGAUAACUUCAGGAAACUGGGGCUAAUACCGGAUAGGAGCUCCUGCUGCAUGGUGGGGGUUGGAAAGUUUCGGCGGUUGGGGAUGGACUCGCGGCUUAUCAGCUUGUUGGUGGGGUAGUGGCUUACCAAGGCUUUGACGGGUAGCCGGCCUGAGAGGGUGACCGGCCACAUUGGGACUGAGAUACGGCCCAGACUCCUACGGGAGGCAGCAGUGGGGAAUAUUGCACAAUGGGCGGAGGCCUGAUGCAGCAACGCCGCGUGCGGGAUGACGGCCUUCGGGUUGUAAACCGCUUUCGCCUGUGACGAAGCGUGAGUGACGGUAAUGGGUAAAGAAGCACCGGCUAACUACGUG